CGAAGAAUAGUUUAGUUAAAAUACUAGCUUUGGGGGCUAGGGAUAGAAGUUCAAAUCUUUUUUCUUUGA
This 69-nucleotide transfer RNA is filed under the name Percichthys trucha. RNAcentral's name for it is "tRNA-Pro". It matches the Rfam family "tRNA". Rfam says of the family: Transfer RNA (tRNA) molecules are approximately 80 nucleotides in length. Their secondary structure includes four short double-helical elements and three loops (D, anti-codon, and T loops). Lineage: Eukaryota; Metazoa; Chordata; Actinopteri; Centrarchiformes; Percichthyidae. The record is from RNAcentral.